CAUGAGAGCAUCCGAAAGAAGCUAAUGUUCUUCAAUAUCGAAGACAUCAGUAAAGCUAGCAUGAAGGCCAUGCUGAUCAAGGAGAAGAAUAGCUUAAAGAAGGCAAGAAGGGUGAUGAAUUCAGGAAAGGUGAUGUGAAAUCAUGUCAGGAAAGGAAAAGAGCAAGAAGGAUGUCAACACAGCUUGGAAAAAUUAUUAUGAUAAUUAUAAUAUCCAUGGACAUAUAAAGAAAAAGUGUUAGGAGCUUCACCUUAAGUUGUAAUCGAAGAGGAAGAAACCAAAGGAUAAGGAUUCUAAGGAGAAAGGGAAGGCAAUCCUCAAUAUUAUAGAGGUUGAGAAGCUACUCAAGGUUGAGCAAACAUACUCAGAACUAGCCUAAUAGCAAGGAAAACCAACACAACAAUUGUGAGACUUAGAGGCAUGAGA
Molecule: long non-coding RNA, 426 nt
Filed under: Elaeis guineensis (African oil palm)
Lineage: Eukaryota; Viridiplantae; Streptophyta; Magnoliopsida; Arecales; Arecaceae
Description: long non-coding RNA (EGUI_LNC073883)
Source: RNAcentral